GACGAACGCUGGCGGCGUGCUUAACACAUGCAAGUCGAACGGAAAGGCCCUGCUUUUGUGGGGUGCUCGAGUGGCGAACGGGUGAGUAACACGUGAGUAACCUGCCCUUGACUUUGGGAUAACUUCAGGAAACUGGGGCUAAUACCGGAUAGGAGCUCCUGCUGCAUGGUGGGGGUUGGAAAGUUUCGGCGGUUGGGGAUGGACUCGCGGCUUAUCAGCUUGCUGGUGGGGUAGUGGCUUACCAAGGCUUUGACGGGUAGCCGGCCUGAGAGGGUGACCGGCGACAUUGGGACUGAGAUACGGCCCAGAGUCCUACGGGAGGCAGCAGUGGGGAAUAUUGCACAAUGGGCGGAAGCCUGAUGCAGCAACGCCGCGUGCGGGAUGACGGCCUUCGGGUUGUAAACCGCUUUCGCCUGUGACGCAGCGUGAGUGACGGUAAUGGGUAAAGAAGCACCGGCUAACUACGUG
RNAcentral lists this ribosomal RNA (468 nucleotides) under uncultured bacterium. RNAcentral's name for it is "partial 16S ribosomal RNA". It matches the Rfam family "Bacterial small subunit ribosomal RNA", at positions 28 to 507 of the family's 1533-position model. The record is from RNAcentral.